AAUGAACGCUGGCGGCGUGCCUAACACAUGCAAGUCGGAUGUGCCGCAAGGUGCAUGGCAGACGGGUGAGUAACGCGUAGGGAAUCUACCUUUUUGUGGGGAAUAACGCUCCGAAAGGAGUGGUAAUACCGCAUGAGACCGUGGCCUGGGAUGGUUACGGUGAAACCUGGGGACCGCAAGGCCUGGGGCAAAAAGAGGAUCCUGCGUCUGAUUAGCUAGUUGGCGGGGUAAUGGCCCACCAAGGCGACGAUCAGUAGCCGGCCUGAGAGGGUGAUCGGCCACACUGGAACUGACACACGGUCCAGACUCCUACGGGAGGCAGCAGUAGGGAAUAUUGCACAAUGGGGCGAAAGCCUGAUGCAGCGACGCCGCGUGAGUGAUGAAGGACUUCGGUUUGUAAAGCUCUGUUGUCAGGGAUAAAAAAUGAAUGUACCUGACGAGAAAGGACCGGCUAACUUCGUGCCAGCAGCCGCGGUAAU
RNAcentral lists this ribosomal RNA (479 nucleotides) under uncultured bacterium. RNAcentral describes it as "bacterial SSU rRNA". It matches the Rfam family "Bacterial small subunit ribosomal RNA", at positions 29 to 524 of the family's 1533-position model. The record is from RNAcentral.